This is a long non-coding RNA of Bos taurus (domestic cattle), 1467 nucleotides long. The record is from Ensembl. NCBI's taxonomy places the organism in Eukaryota, Metazoa, Chordata, Mammalia, Artiodactyla, Bovidae.
CUGCGUGGUUUCAGAGCAUUUCCUUCAACUUCCACAGAAAGUGGGUAGCCCCACCUUUUCAUUUAUUUCAGAUCUACCCCAGAGGGUCAGUAAGUCCCCCAUUAAGCCUAAGCCACUGUCAUGGGGUUCACAAUAGGUCCUGUCCUCCAAAGCAGUGGACCCCCAAGAAGCUGCCGUCUUGGGUUGCAGAGUUGUGUCCGACUCUCUGCGACCCCAUGGACUGUAGCCCGCCCAUCUCCCCUGUCCGUGGGGUCUCCCAGGCAGGAACACUGGAGGGGGUUGCCCUUUCCUCCUCCAGGGGAAUCUUCCCGACCCGGGGAUCGAAGCUGGGUCUCCUGUGUUGGCUUCUUUACCGCUGAGCCACCGGGGAAGCCCCCACUGGGCUGCUGUGCUUCCCUGUCAGCCGCGGCGCACGGAUGUGCCCAAAGACGGCCCUGCAUCAGGUGCCUCCCUGUGGUUCUGCUGUCUGCACCCCGGAAACCUCUGUUUUAGGGAUUCCAGGCUGCUUUCCCAUGCAGUCCAGUGACAGGGACCAGUCAGACCAUGAAGGGUCCGGUGGGAGAAGACGGGUGUUUCCCGGGGCAGGAGGGUGUAUCAGACAGCAGCCCCAUAGACCCCAGCUGUGCCAGGUUUGAGCACAGCUGCCUCAGGGCCUGGGGAGGCAGGCUGGGGUCUCCGAGGACUCACUCGGGUCUCUUUCAUCCCCCUGCCCCUGAGCCCCUGCCAGCUGCCGUCCAGGAAGCCAGGCCAGUUCUGGGCCUGGAGUGAGGGGACGGUAGCCUGGCGGGGCUGCCAGAGACGCUCCAUCUCUCGGGGAUGUGGAAGAGUGUGCCGUGGAGAAUGGGCACAGCUGUGGAGGUGGUGGGGGAGACUGAGGCGCCCUUUCCCUGCCUGGCGGGGCGAUGGGGACUCGGGGGAGUGCCUCGGAGGUGAAGGGAAGCCAGUUCCCAGGAGACAGCUUCAGGCCUGUGUGCCCUGACAUCCCAGGUGAGUGAUGCUCCUGCAAGAUGCCCACACGCAGAGGCUGCAGGUCAGGCAUCAGAGAGCCUGCCUCUGGGUAUCACGUCUGAAGCUCGCGUUCAUCUUCCUCUCCAGUUUCACUGUGGCUCCAACAUACCAGGCACCCCAGACACAUUAUCAGUUCUGCGGUUGCUGUUCAACUAUCCGCUCCAGCCAGACAGGGUUUGGGGUAUCUGUUUGUUUAUCUAAUACAUUCACUGCCAUCACUUCCACCGCUCAUGCGCCUAGAAGGUGCUCAGCAAAGACGAUGGAAUGAACUCGUGCCGUCCGCUUCGAGUAAGCCUGUGGGAAGCCGUGUCUGUCCCCGGGGAGACAGGAGACACAGGCAUCGGUGACGGCCAUCUGGGACGUGGCAGAGCCUCUGACCGAAGCCAGCCCAGGGUUCAGAAGAGCCCAGAGGUCACUUGGUCUGCUGGCUGGCAGGGGCCAGGGCAGUGGAGUCGGGGG